Molecule: ribosomal RNA, 453 nt
Filed under: uncultured Sphingomonas sp.
Lineage: Bacteria; Pseudomonadati; Pseudomonadota; Alphaproteobacteria; Sphingomonadales; Sphingomonadaceae
Description: partial 16S ribosomal RNA
Source: RNAcentral
CACGGAGUUAGCCGGGGCUUAUUCUCCCGGUACAGUCAUUAUCUUCCCGGGUAAAAGGGCUUUACAACCCUAAGGCCUUCAUCACUCACGCGGCAUUGCUGGAUCAGGCUUUCGCCCAUUGUCCAAUAUUCCCCACUGCUGCCUCCCGUAGGAGUCUGGGCCGUGUCUCAGUCCCAGUGUGGCUGAUCAUCCUCUCAGACCAGCUAAGGAUCGUCGCCUUGGCAGGCCUUUACCCCACCAACUAGCUAAUCCUACGCGGGCUCAUCUCAGGGCGAUAAAUCUUUGGUCCGAAGACAUCAUACGGUAUUAGCAGUCAUUUCUAACUGUUAUUCCGUACCCCAAGGCAGAUUCCCACGCGUUACGCACCCGUGCGCCACUAUCACCGAAGUGAUCGUUCGACUUGCAUGUGUUAGGCAUGCCGCCAGCGUUCGUUCUGAGCCAGGAUCAAACUCU